RNAcentral lists this transfer RNA (67 nucleotides) under Rhagonycha nigroimpressa. Its description in RNAcentral is "tRNA-Trp". The record is from RNAcentral. Lineage: Eukaryota; Metazoa; Arthropoda; Insecta; Coleoptera; Cantharidae.
AAGGAUUUAAGUUAACAAAAACUAAUAACCUUCAAAGUUAUCAUUAAAUAAGUAAAUUUAAGCCUUA